GUGCCAGCCGCCGCGGUAAGACGAACCGUGCAAACGUUAUUCGGAAUCACUGGGCUUAAAGCGCGUGUAGGCGGGCCGGCACGUCGGUCGUUGAAAUCCCCCGGCUCAACCGGGGAAGCGGCGCCGAUACGACCGGCCUCGAGGGACGUAGGGGGGGCUGGAACUUCCGGUGGAGCGGUGAAAUGCGUUGAGAUCGGAAGGAACGCCCGUGGCGAAAGCGAGCCCCUGGACGUCUACUGACGCUGAGACGCGAAAGCCAGGGGAGCGAACGGGAUUAGAAACCCCGGUAGUCC
This 293-nucleotide ribosomal RNA is filed under the name uncultured bacterium. Its description in RNAcentral is "partial 16S ribosomal RNA". It matches the Rfam family "Bacterial small subunit ribosomal RNA", at positions 505 to 796 of the family's 1533-position model. The record is from RNAcentral.